Molecule: long non-coding RNA, 511 nt
Filed under: Linum usitatissimum (flax)
Lineage: Eukaryota; Viridiplantae; Streptophyta; Magnoliopsida; Malpighiales; Linaceae
Description: long non-coding RNA (LUSI_LNC001855)
Source: RNAcentral
GUGGUUAAAAUACGUUUAAUAUCAGGAUGAUGAAGACGAGGAUGAAGAGAAUGAGGAAGGAAAGUUGAGUUCGUCUGGAAAGGAGUUGAAGAAGUUACUCGGGAAAGCUGCCGGGCUCAGUGAUUCUGAUGGUGAAGAUGACGACGAUGAUGAUGUAAGUUUUUGUUCUUAAAUACUAUCCUUUUGAACAGACUCUGUACUGGUAUGCUUUUGCCUUUCUGUUUGCAAUGAGGUAAACUGUUAGAAUGGAUAAAUAUGCUGUUACUUUCUUUGUCUCAUCCAUGACGAAGCAGUAGAUUGUUAGAUUUUUGUGGAAGUUAUCUGUAGUUUUUUUCUGUUUUAUUUAUUUGUACAAGGAUGAAGGUAUCUUUGACGUGAAUUUCUAGUUUGCUAUGCUUCUUUCUCUCCUAUUAAAUUUCGUCCUUUGUUGGAAUUUGCGCUGAUAACACCUCAUGCACUCUAGUUACUCCGACCAUUGCUUAGCUUCAACAAAUUACAAAUGUAUGGCAAC